This 514-nucleotide ribosomal RNA is filed under the name uncultured bacterium. RNAcentral describes it as "partial 16S ribosomal RNA". It matches the Rfam family "Bacterial small subunit ribosomal RNA", at positions 28 to 523 of the family's 1533-position model. The record is from RNAcentral.
GAUGAACGCUGGCGGCGUGCCUAAUACAUGCAAGUCGAGCGAACAGAUGAGAAGCUUGCUUCUCUGAUGUUAGCGGCGGACGGGUGAGUAACACGUGGGUAACCUACCUAUCAGACUGGGAUAACUCCGGGAAACCGGGGCUAAUACCGGAUAAUAUUUUGAACCGCAUGGUUCAAUAGUGAAAGACGGUUUCGGCUGUCACUUAUAGAUGGACCCGGGCCGUAUUAGCAAGUUGGUAAGGUAACGGCUUACCAAGGCGACGAUACGUAGCCGACCUGAGAGGGUGAUCGGCCACACUGGAACUGAGACACGGUCCAGACUCCUACGGGAGGCAGCAGUAGGGAAUCUUCCGCAAUGGGCGAAAGCCUGACGGAGCAACGCCGCGUGAGGGAUGAAGGUCUUCGGAUCGUAAAACUCUGUUGUUAGGGAAGAACAAAUUUGUUAGUAACUGAACAAGUCUUGACGGUACCUAACCAGAAAGCCACGGCUAACUACGUGCCAGCCGCCGCCGUAA